CGGAACGUGCCCGAUCGUGGGGGAUAACGGAGCGAAAGCUUUGCUAAUACCGCAUACGAUCUACGGAUGAAAGCAGGGGACCGCAAGGUCUUGCGCGGACGGAGCGGCCGAUGGCAGAUUAGGUAGUUGGUGGGAUAAAAGCUUACCAAGCCGACGAUCUGUAGCUGGUCUGAGAGGACGACCAGCCACACUGGGACUGAGACACGGCCCAGACUCCUACGGGAGGCAGCAGUGGGGAAUUUUGGACAAUGGGCGAAAGCCUGAUCCAGCCAUGCCGCGUGCAGGAUGAAGGCCUUCGGGUUGUAAACUGCUUUUGUACGGAACGAAAAGCCUCUUUCUAAUAAAGAGAGGUCAUGACGGUACCGUAAGAAUAAGCACCGGCUAACUACGUGCCAGCAGCCGCGGUAAUACGUAGGGUGCGAGCGUUAAUCGGAAUUACUGGGCGUAAAGCGUGCGCAGGCGGUGAUGUAAGACAGAUGUGAAAUCCCCGGGCUCAACCUGGGAACUGCAUUUGUGACUGCAUCGCUGGAGUGCGGCAGAGGGGGAUGGAAUUCCGCGUGUAGCAGUGAAAUGCGUAGAUAUGCGGAGGAACACCGAUGGCGAAGGCAAUCCCCUGGGCCUGCACUGACGCUC
Molecule: ribosomal RNA, 633 nt
Filed under: Paracidovorax wautersii
Lineage: Bacteria; Pseudomonadati; Pseudomonadota; Betaproteobacteria; Burkholderiales; Comamonadaceae
Description: bacterial SSU rRNA
Rfam family: Bacterial small subunit ribosomal RNA
Source: RNAcentral